Molecule: unclassified non-coding RNA, 264 nt
Filed under: Hevea brasiliensis (rubber tree)
Lineage: Eukaryota; Viridiplantae; Streptophyta; Magnoliopsida; Malpighiales; Euphorbiaceae
Source: RNAcentral
ACCACGACGAAUCGAAGCAUGAUCAUAUGAACUCAAAAUGCCCUGGUGAGGCCACGGGUAGCUUGGACACUCCAAACCAUGUUCUGCCUCAUCAGCAGAUGCCAAAGUUGCAAAACUGAAAAACCCUGAAAUGCCUGCUCCAAGAAGAGCCAGCCUUCUAAAGGAGUUCAUCCCAGCAAAGCCAGCUUCCUGAUUCUUUGAAAUAAGGGAUGAGGUCAAUGGAGGGGUUGAAGAUUGAGAUGGAAAUUUCCUCAGCAACUGCCG